This 963-nucleotide ribosomal RNA is filed under the name uncultured bacterium. RNAcentral describes it as "bacterial SSU rRNA". It matches the Rfam family "Bacterial small subunit ribosomal RNA", at positions 35 to 996 of the family's 1533-position model. The record is from RNAcentral.
GCUGGCGGCAUGCUUUACACAUGCAAGUCGAACGGCAGCGCGGGGCAACCUGGCGGCGAGUGGCGGACGGGUGAGUAAUAUAUCGGAACGUACCCAGAAGUGGGGGAUAACGUAGCGAAAGUUACGCUAAUACCGCAUACGAUCUACGGAUGAAAGUGGGGGACCUUCGGGCCUCAUGCUUUUGGAGCGGCCGAUAUCUGAUUAGCUAGUUGGUAGGGUAAAGGCCUACCAAGGCUACGAUCAGUAGCUGGUCUGAGAGGACGACCAGCCACACUGGAACUGAGACACGGUCCAGACUCCUACGGGAGGCAGCAGUGGGGAAUUUUGGACAAUGGGCGCAAGCCUGAUCCAGCAAUGCCGCGUGAGUGAAGAAGGCCUUCGGGUUGUAAAGCUCUUUUGUCAGGGAAGAAACGGCUGAGGCUAAUAUCCUCGGCUAAUGACGGUACCUGAAGAAUAAGCACCGGCUAACUACGUGCCAGCAGCCGCGGUAAUACGUAGGGUGCAAGCGUUAAUCGGAAUUACUGGGCGUAAAGCGUGCGCAGGCGGUUUUGUAAGUCUGACGUGAAAGCCCCGGGCUCAACCUGGGAAUUGCGUUGGAGACUGCAAGGCUUGAAUCUGGCAGAGGGGGGGUAGAAUUCCACGUGUAGCAGUGAAAUGCGUAGAGAUGUGGAGGAACACCGAUGGCGAAAGCAGCCCCCUGGGUCAAGAUUGACGCUCAUGCACGAAAGCGUGGGGAGCAAACAGGAUUAGAUACCCUGGUAGUCACGCCCUAAACGAUGUCUACUAGUUGUCGGGUUUUAAUUAACUUGGUAACGCAGCUAACGCGUGAAGUAGACCGCCUGGGGAGUACGGUCGCAAGAUUAAAACUCAAAGGAAUUGACGGGGACCCGCACAAGCGGUGGAUGAUGUGGAUUAAUUCGAUGCAACGCGAAAAACCUUACCUACCCUUGACAUGGAAGGAAU